AAGCCAAUCAGUGAAUCUAUUAAUCUGAAUGUGUUUAUGCAAAAAUUUAGGUAAAGCUGGUAAUACUAGUGCCACAAUAUAAUCUUUAAGGACAAUCAAUGUCACUGAAGUUGCUCAGAAUGGUUACAACA
Small nucleolar RNA from Dipodomys ordii (Ord's kangaroo rat), 131 nucleotides. The record is from Ensembl. NCBI's taxonomy places the organism in Eukaryota, Metazoa, Chordata, Mammalia, Rodentia, Heteromyidae.